This 503-nucleotide ribosomal RNA is filed under the name uncultured bacterium. Its description in RNAcentral is "partial 16S ribosomal RNA". It matches the Rfam family "Bacterial small subunit ribosomal RNA", at positions 29 to 507 of the family's 1533-position model. The record is from RNAcentral.
AACGAACGCUGGCGGCGUGCCUAACACAUGCAAGUCGAACGAGAAAGGGGCUUCGGCUCCGAGUAAAGUGGCGCACGGGUGAGUAACACGUGGGUAACCUGCCUCUAAGAUUGGGAUAACUCGUCGAAAGAUGAGCUAAUACCGAAUAAGACCACAGUUCCCGCGGGAACAGGGGUCAAAGGUAGCCUCUGCUUGCAAGCUAUCACUUAGAGAUGGGCCUGCGCACCAUUAGCUAGUUGGUAGGGUAACGGCCUACCAAGGCAAAGAUGGUUAGCUGGUCUGAGAGGAUGAUCAGCCACACUGGAACGGAGACACGGUCCAGACGCCUACGGGAGGCAGCAGGGGGGAAUAGUGCGCAAGGGGCGAAAGCUUGACGCAGCAACGCCGCGUGAGUGAUGAAGGCCGUCGGGUCGUAAAGCCCGGUCGGGAGGAACGAAUGCUCCUGAGGUUAACAGCCUCGGGAGGUGACGGUACCUUCAAAGGAAGCACCGGCUAACUCUGUG